GGGCUGCAGUAUAUUGACUGUACAAAGGUAGCAUAAUCAUUAGUCAUUUAAUUGAUGACUUGUAUGAAAGAUUGGAUGAAAUAUAAACUGUCUCUUUAUUAUUUAUAUAGAAUUUAAUUUUUUAAUUAAAAAGUUAAAAUAAAAUAAAAAGACGAGAAGACCCUAUAGAGUUUUAUAUUUAAAUUAAUUAAGAUUAUUUAUAAAAUUUUUAAUUAAAAUUAUUUUAAAUAUUUUGUUGGGGUGACAGAAAAAUAAAAAUAACUUUUUUUAAAAAUUAACAUAUAUAAAUGAUUUAAUGAUCCAAUAUUAUUGAUUAUAAGAAAAAAUUACCUUAGGGAUAACAGCGUAAUUUUUUUUUUUAGUUCAAAUAAAAAAAAGAGUUUGCGACCUCGAUGUUGGAUUAAGAUAAAAUUUAAAUG
Molecule: ribosomal RNA, 419 nt
Filed under: Spodoptera latifascia
Lineage: Eukaryota; Metazoa; Arthropoda; Insecta; Lepidoptera; Noctuidae
Description: partial 16S ribosomal RNA
Source: RNAcentral